CCCUAUGGGGUGCAUCUGGUCGGUCAACAAUCCUCCGGUGAUUUAUUUUCGCUGGUUAAAGCGAACGCUUUACUGAUCAUACCGGCGGGAGUAAAAUCACUUCCUGCAGGAACAGAAGCUGACAUCAUCCUGCUGGAUUCAUUAUCCGUACCGUAAAGGACAUCGAUAUGAAUAAGCUCAAUAAGGUUUUUCUCAUCACCAAUGUAAUCGGGUUAAUCGAUGCAAUUUACCUGAUCAUCGUCAAGUUCGCCAAUAAUAAGGCGCUGUGCAUUCAAGGAAUUGGCGGGGGAGC
RNAcentral lists this ribosomal RNA (292 nucleotides) under uncultured prokaryote. RNAcentral's name for it is "partial 16S ribosomal RNA". The record is from RNAcentral.